UUUAGAACACGAAGUGGUUGAUGCCAUGCUUCCAAGAAAAGCUUCUAAGCUUCAGGUAACCAGGAACCGUACCCCAAACCGACACAGGUGGUUGGGUAGAGAAUACCAAGGCGCUUGAGAGAACUCGGGUGAAGGAACUAGGCAAAAUGGCACCGUAACUUCGGGAGAAGGUGCGCCGGUGGAGGUGAAGCAUUUACUGCGUAAGCCCCUGCCGGUCGAAGAUACCAGGCCGCUGCGACUGUUUAUUAAAAACACAGCACUCUGCAAACACGAAAGUGGACGUAUAGGGUGUGACGCCUGCCCGGUGCCGGAAGGUUAAUUGAUGGGGUUAGCGCAAGCGAAGCUCUUGAUCGAAGCCCCGGUAAACGGCGGCCGUAACUAUAACGGUCCUAAGGUAGCGAAAUUCCUUGUCGGGUAAGUUCCGACCUGCACGAAUGGCGUAACGAUGGCGGCGCUGUCUCCACCCGAGACUCAGUGAAAUUGAAAUCGCUGUGAAGAUGCAGUGUAUCCGCGGCUAGACGGAAAGACCCCGUGAACCUUUACUAUAGCUUUGCACUGGACUUUGAAUUUGCUUGUGUAGGAUAGGUGGGAGGCUUUGAAGCGUGGACGCCAGUCUGCGUGGAGCCAACCUUGAAAUACCACCCUGGCAACUUUGAGGUUCUAACUCAGGUCCGUUAUCCGGAUCGAGGACAGUGUAUGGUGGGUAGUUUGACUGGGGCGGUCUCCUCCUAAAGAGUAACGGAGGAGUACGAAGGUGCGCUCAGACCGGUCGGAAAUCGGUCGUAGAGUAUAAAGGCAAAAGCGCGCUUGACUGCGAGACAGACACGUCGAGCAGGUACGAAAGUAGGUCUUAGUGAUCCGGUGGUUCUGUAUGGAAGGGCCAUCGCUCAACGGAUAAAAGGUACUCCGGGGAUAACAGGCUGAUACCGCCCAAGAGUUCAUAUCGACGGCGGUGUUUGGCACCUCGAUGUCGGCUCAUCACAUCCUGGGGCUGAAGCCGGUCCCAAGGGUAUGGCUGUUCGCCAUUUAAAGUGGUACGCGAGCUGGGUUUAGAACGUCGUGAGACAGUUCGGUCCCUAUCUGCCGUGGACGUUUGAGAUUUGAGAGGGGCUGCUCCUAGUACGAGAGGACCGGAGUGGACGAACCUCUGGUGUUCCGGUUGUCACGCCAGUGGCAUUGCCGGGUAGCUAUGUUCGGAAAAGAUAACCGCUGAAAGCAUCUAAGCGGGAAACUUGCCUCAAGAUGAGAUCUCACUGGAACCUUGAGUUCCCUAAAGGGCCGUCGAAGACUACGACGUUGAUAGGUUGGGUGUGUAAGCGCUGUGAGGCGUUGAGCUAACCAAUACUAAUUGCCCGUGAGGCUUGACCAUAUAACACCCAAGCAAUU
This 1386-nucleotide ribosomal RNA is filed under the name Pseudomonas syringae. RNAcentral describes it as "partial 23S ribosomal RNA". It matches the Rfam family "Bacterial large subunit ribosomal RNA", at positions 1577 to 2925 of the family's 2925-position model. The record is from RNAcentral. RNAcentral also lists the same sequence under 1 other name. Lineage: Bacteria; Pseudomonadati; Pseudomonadota; Gammaproteobacteria; Pseudomonadales; Pseudomonadaceae.